Molecule: long non-coding RNA, 403 nt
Organism: Halichondria panicea
Lineage: Eukaryota; Metazoa; Porifera; Demospongiae; Suberitida; Halichondriidae
Exons: 3
Source: RefSeq, a predicted model, not a curated record
UCCAGAUGGCAAAGCUUCUGGACAUUACGAAUGGACAUCACUGCAGGGGAACGACACCAAGAAGUUUCUGGAACGUCUCCCAGUGAGGUUUGCUGACCUACUGAAGGAAGAAAUUCAAGCUAAAAUGGCCCAACUUUGGACAGAAUUUCUCUCUUUGUAUAAGAUGGUUUCUAGCUGGACUCCACCUCCCAGUGAAGUGGUUGAGCAAAAGGCGAAAGACUGGAUAAGGCUUUUCUUGAGCUUGAAGCACAAGUGUCAAGGGUUUCAGGAAAAGAAUAUUACGCCCUAUAUGCACACACUGGUCUUUCAUUUCCCUUACUUUAUUUCAAAAUACGGAAAUGUCAAGAUGUUUAGUGGACAAGGUGAGUUCGAGUGUAAAGAAAUAACAUUUUAAUCACCUUUU